CCCGCCGGCCAUAGGAGGCAGGUAACGCCCGGGCUCAUAUCGAACCCGGAAGCUAAGCUGCCUCCGCGGCCUUACCCCGUAGGGUCCGCAAGGCCCUGCAGGGGGGCCGUGCUGGCAGGG
This 120-nucleotide ribosomal RNA is filed under the name Acidilobales archaeon. The record is from RNAcentral. Lineage: Archaea; Thermoproteati; Thermoproteota; Thermoprotei; Acidilobales.